RNAcentral lists this ribosomal RNA (237 nucleotides) under uncultured bacterium. Its description in RNAcentral is "partial 16S ribosomal RNA". It matches the Rfam family "Bacterial small subunit ribosomal RNA", at positions 524 to 752 of the family's 1533-position model. The record is from RNAcentral.
UACGUAGGGUGCGAGCGUUGUCCGGAAUUAUUGGGCGUAAAGGGCUCGUAGGCGGUUUGUCACGUCGGGAGUGAAAACUCAGGGCUUAACCCUGAGCCUGCUUCCGAUACGGGCAGACUAGAGGUAUGCAGGGGAGAACGGAAUUCCUGGUGUAGCGGUGAAAUGCGGCAGGAAUAUCAGGAGGAACACCGGUGGCGAAGGCGGAUUCUCCGUGGGCGAGUUACCUGACGCUGGAGG